This 497-nucleotide ribosomal RNA is filed under the name uncultured bacterium. Its description in RNAcentral is "partial 16S ribosomal RNA". It matches the Rfam family "Bacterial small subunit ribosomal RNA", at positions 28 to 507 of the family's 1533-position model. The record is from RNAcentral.
GAUGAACGCUGGCGGCGUGCCUAAUACAUGCAAGUCGAGCGAACAGACGAGGAGCUUGCUCCUCUGACGUUAGCGGCGGACGGGUGAGUAACACGUGGAUAACCUACCUAUAAGACUGGGAUAACUUCGGGAAACCGGAGCUAAUACCGGAUAAUAUAUUGAACCGCAUGGUUCAAUAGUGAAAGACGGUUUUGCUGUCACUUAUAGAUGGAUCCGCGCCGCAUUAGCUAGUUGGUAAGGUGACGGCUUACCAAGGCAACGAUGCGUAGCCGACCUGAGAGGGUGAUCGGCCACACUGGAACUGAGACACGGUCCAGACUCCUACGGGAGGCAGCAGUAGGGAAUAUUCCGCAAUGGGCGAAAGCCUGACGGAGCAACGCCGCGUGAGUGAUGAAGGUCUUCGGAUCGUAAAACUCUGUUAUUAGGGAAGAACAAAUGUGUAAGUAACUAUGCACGUCUUGACGGUACCUAAUCAGAAAGCCACGGCUAACUACGUG